GGGCCCGUGGUCUAGUCCGGUAUGACGCUUCCUUGACGUGGAAGAUGUCCCCGGUUCAAAUCCGGGCGGGCCCA
This 74-nucleotide transfer RNA is filed under the name Candidatus Woesearchaeota archaeon. RNAcentral describes it as "tRNA-Val". It matches the Rfam family "tRNA". From Rfam's summary of the family: Transfer RNA (tRNA) molecules are approximately 80 nucleotides in length. Their secondary structure includes four short double-helical elements and three loops (D, anti-codon, and T loops). The record is from RNAcentral. Lineage: Archaea; Nanobdellati; Candidatus Woesearchaeota.